UAAGCCCUAAAGUCUCUUGUGUGUAUAAUAAGGUAGAGAGAAUAGAGGCAAAGAGAUCCCAAUGGGACAAGUGGCCACUGCUUUGUUUCUACACUCAUAAACUUUAGUUGCUCUGUUGCUGCUUCUUCACCUACUUCAUUCUCCUCAUUCACAGCUGGAAAUAUUACCUUGGUUUGAAGCAUCAAAGUGCAGUGUCCCUUCCAUAUAUUGAUCUCAAGCCAUCACAACUAUAUUAAGGGACCUAAUUUCUGUUGAUUUCAGGAAUGUGCAUCUUGGCUUGUGCAGUGGAGAUAGCACCAUGACGGGCCUUGGGCCCAACCUAUGAAGCCUUUCAUGCAAGUCAAUAAUCAAACCUUGUGUAGUGUUUUUCCUUACAAAAAUGUUUCAAUUAUUAAAUGGUGUUCAUCAAUAUGGAGCAGCUGCAUGCAAAGAAACUAUCAACCUCUUCUUAAUUUCUCUAAGCAGAAGGACUAUAGAAUAUUAUAUGUUACUGCUCUUUGCAUCUUGGUGUUGCUUCUUCAAGGUUGUGAUGGAUAACUGUGGGAGCAUAUAUCAAAUUUCAUUGAUGGCUUUUAAUAAAGCUCAUCAAUGAAAAUGGUCGGAAUCAAUUAAACCAAGAUACCCUCUUGUACAGUCCAAGGAUAUAAACCUACCAAAUGUGUAUUUGGUGAGGUCCUAUUUUCUUGAGCUGUUGCUGAAGAGAGUUCCCCUUGACAACUUCAAAUUUGACUUUGUUUUCUUUUUUUAUUUGCUGAAUUAAUCAAAAUUGUUGAUCAGUCUACUUGGUCACGGCUCUAGUUUAUUUUUGUACUUCAUCAUUGUAAUAGUACUUAUUAUGAGUUUUAGCUUCCAGAACGAUCUUUGGAACAGAAUGUAAUAAAUUUAAUAUUGAUGUUUAAUUAUUGCUGUGAUAGAUUAUA
Molecule: long non-coding RNA, 920 nt
Organism: Medicago truncatula (barrel medic)
Lineage: Eukaryota; Viridiplantae; Streptophyta; Magnoliopsida; Fabales; Fabaceae
Exons: 4
Source: RefSeq, a predicted model, not a curated record